UACGUAGGGUGCGAGCGUUAAUCGGAAUUACUGGGCGUAAAGCGUGCGCAGGCGGUUCGUUGUGUCUGAUGUGAAAGCCCCGGGCUCAACCUGGGAAUGGCAUUGGAAACUGGCGAGCUAGAGUGUGGCAGAGGGGGGUGGAAUUCCGCGUGUAGCAGUGAAAUGCGUAGAUAUCGAGAGGAACACCAGUGGCGAAGGCGAGUCCCUGGACACUUCCUGACACUGAGGCACGAAAGCUAGGGGAGCAAACAGG
This 253-nucleotide ribosomal RNA is filed under the name uncultured bacterium. Its description in RNAcentral is "partial 16S ribosomal RNA". It matches the Rfam family "Bacterial small subunit ribosomal RNA", at positions 524 to 776 of the family's 1533-position model. The record is from RNAcentral.